GUUUUAUUAGUAUAGUUAAGUACGUUUGUUUUCCAAACAAGGGGGUUAGGUGAUCUAAAUAAAAUA
This 66-nucleotide transfer RNA is filed under the name Mastigoteuthis agassizii. RNAcentral's name for it is "tRNA-Gly". Lineage: Eukaryota; Metazoa; Mollusca; Cephalopoda; Oegopsida; Mastigoteuthidae. The record is from RNAcentral.